RNAcentral lists this ribosomal RNA (469 nucleotides) under bacterium ATR201. Its description in RNAcentral is "bacterial SSU rRNA". It matches the Rfam family "Bacterial small subunit ribosomal RNA", at positions 566 to 1053 of the family's 1533-position model. The record is from RNAcentral.
AGCUCGUAGGCGGCUUGUCACGUCGGAUGUGAAAGCCCGAGGCUUAACCUCGGGUCUGCAUUCGAUACGGGCUAGCUAGAGUGUGGUAGGGGAGAUCGGAAUUCCUGGUGUAGCGGUGAAAUGCGCAGAUAUCAGGAGGAACACCGGUGGCGAAGGCGGAUCUCUGGCCAUUACUGACGCUGAGGAGCGAAAGCGUGGGAGCGAACAGGAUUAGAUACCCUGGUAGUCACGCCGUAACGUUGGGAACUAGGUGUGGCGACAUUCCACGUCGUCGGUGCCGCACUAACGCAUUAAGUCCCCGCCUGGGAGUACGGCGCAAGGCUAAACUCAAGGAAUUGACGGGGGCCGCACAAGCGGCGGAGCAUGUGGCUUAUUCGACGCAACGCGAAGAACCUUACCAAGGCUUGACAUAUACCGGAAGCAUAAGAGAUAGUGCCCCCUUGUGUCGGUAUACAGUGUGCAUGCUGUC